This 472-nucleotide ribosomal RNA is filed under the name uncultured bacterium. Its description in RNAcentral is "partial 16S ribosomal RNA". It matches the Rfam family "Bacterial small subunit ribosomal RNA", at positions 28 to 507 of the family's 1533-position model. The record is from RNAcentral.
GACGAACGCUGGCGGCGUGCUUAACACAUGCAAGUCGAACGCUGAAGCUUGGUGCUUGCACUGGGUGGAUGAGUGGCGAACGGGUGAGUAAUACGUGAGUAACCUGCCCUUGACUCAGGGAUAAGCCUGGGAAACUGGGUCUAAUACUGGAUACGACAUGCCACUGCAUGGUGGUGUGUGGAAAGGGUUUUACUGGUUUUGGAUGGGCUCACGGCCUAUCAGCUUGUUGGUGGGGUAAUGGCCUACCAAGGCGACGACGGGUAGCCGGCCUGAGAGGGUGACCGGCCACACUGGGACUGAGACACGGCCCAGACUCCUACGGGAGGCAGCAGUGGGGAAUAUUGCACAAUGGGCGGAAGCCUGAUGCAGCGACGCCGCGUGAGGGAUGACGGCCUUCGGGUUGUAAACCUCUUUCAGCAAGGAAGAAGCGAGAGUGACGGUACGUGCAGAAGAAGCGCCGGCUAACUACGUG